This 787-nucleotide ribosomal RNA is filed under the name uncultured bacterium. RNAcentral's name for it is "bacterial SSU rRNA". It matches the Rfam family "Bacterial small subunit ribosomal RNA", at positions 8 to 796 of the family's 1533-position model. The record is from RNAcentral.
AGAGUUUGAUCAUGGCUCAGGAUGAACGCUAGCGGCAGGCUUAACACAUGCAAGUCGAGGGGUAUGGUUCUUCGGAACCAGAGACCGGCGCACGGGUGCGUAACGCGUAUGCAAUCUACCUUUUACAGAGGGAUAGCCCAGAGAAAUUUGGAUUAAUACCUCAUAGUAUAAUGACUCGGCAUCGAGAUAUUAUUAAAGUCACAACGGUAAAAGAUGAGCAUGCGUCCCAUUAGCUAGUUGGUAAGGUAACGGCUUACCAAGGCUACGAUGGGUAGGGGUCCUGAGAGGGAGAUCCCCCACACUGGUACUGAGACACGGACCAGACUCCUACGGGAGGCAGCAGUGAGGAAUAUUGGACAAUGGGCGCAAGCCUGAUCCAGCCAUGCCGCGUGCAGGAUGACGGUCCUAUGGAUUGUAAACUGCUUUUAUACGAGAAGAAACACUCCGACGUGUCGGAGCUUGACGGUAUCGUAAGAAUAAGGAUCGGCUAACUCCGUGCCAGCAGCCGCGGUAAUACGGAGGAUCCAAGCGUUAUCCGGAAUCAUUGGGUUUAAAGGGUCCGUAGGCGGUUUAAUAAGUCAGUGGUGAAAGCCCAUCGCUCAACGGUGGAACGGCCAUUGAUACUGUUAAACUUGAAUUAUUAGGAAGUAACUAGAAUAUGUAGUGUAGCGGUGAAAUGCUUAGAGAUUACAUGGAAUACCAAUUGCGAAGGCAGGUUACUACUAAUGGAUUGACGCUGAUGGACGAAAGCGUGGGUAGCGAACAGGAUUAGAUACCCUAGUAGUCC